AUUUUCAGUUUGUGUAAUGUUCUGUUAUGUAGACCGUUUGUCAGCUAGGCCCCACUUUGGAAGGACCAUUGCUUGAAAAAUUCUCCUGGAUAGGACCAUCCUAAGUUCAAUAAUUUGGCCUACAAAGUGACAGUUUAGAAGUGAAAUGCGGCAAUGGUCCACAUUCGGCUUUCAAUCUGGGAGGGUUGGGAAGUGUGGUCCAUCCACAGCAGGUCACAUACCCAAGAAUAUAUAAAGCAUGCUUGAGUCUUCAAGUUAAGCUUCCUUUAUUUCAGGCUAAAAGAAAAGAAUGGCCAAUUGAGAAGCUGAGGAAGUUUGAGGUCCCCAAAGCUCCAAAAUAUAUUUUCCUAUCAUUUGUCUAAUGGGACAUGCACCAAUACACUCUGCCAACACUCUUAUGUAACCUGUCUCGCUGCAGCAGAAAAAAAAUGUAAUUUCUAUCUCAAAAUCCUCAAGCAAAUUUCAUUUAUUUUUUA
Long non-coding RNA from Magnolia sinica, 476 nucleotides. RefSeq lists it as uncharacterized. The record is from RefSeq and is a predicted model, not a curated record. The transcript is spliced from 2 exons. Lineage: Eukaryota; Viridiplantae; Streptophyta; Magnoliopsida; Magnoliales; Magnoliaceae.